Molecule: long non-coding RNA, 2619 nt
Filed under: Salmo salar (Atlantic salmon)
Lineage: Eukaryota; Metazoa; Chordata; Actinopteri; Salmoniformes; Salmonidae
Description: lncRNA (ENSSSAG00000090718.1)
Source: RNAcentral
AGGAAUACCCAGAUUUAAAGAGGAGUCUGUAAUUUGCUUUCUAAUGAUCAUGAUCUUUUCCUCAAAGAAGUUCAUAAAUGUAUUACUGCUGAAGUAAAAGCCAUCCUCCAUUUGCGAAGGCUGCUUUUUAGUUAGCUUUGCGACAGUAUCAAAAAGAAAUUUCGGAUUGUUCUUAUUUUCCUCAAAUAAGUUGGAAAAAUAGGAUGAUCGAGCAGCAGUAAGGGCUCUUCGAUACUGCACGGUACUGUCUUUCCAAGCUAGUCGGAAGACUUCCAGUUUGGUGUGGCGCCAUUUCCGUUCCAAUUUUCUGGAAGCUUGCUUCAGAGCUCGUGUAUUUUCUGUAUACCAGGGAGCUAGUUUCUUAUGACAGAUGUUUUUAGUUUUUAGGGGUGCAACUGCAUCUAGCCUAGUGGUUAGAGGGGGGAGGCGGGGUGCCUAGUUGUUAGAGGAGGCAGGUAGCCUAGUUGUUAGGGGUGGCAGGGUAGCCUGGUGGUUAGGGGAGGAGGGGUAGUCUAGUGGUUAGGGGAGGUGGGGUAGCCUAGUGGUUAGAGGGGGGAGGCGGGGUAGCCUAGUGGUUAGGGGAGGCAGGUAGCCUAGUGGUUAGAGGGGGGAGGCGGGGUAGCCUAGUGGUUAGGGGAGGUGGGGUAGCCUAGUGGUUAGAGGGGGAGGCGGGGUAGCCUAGUUGUUAGAGGAGGCAGGUAGCCUAGUGGUUAGGGGUGGCAGGGUAGCCUAGUGGUUAGGGGAGGAGGGGUAGUCUAGUGGUUAGGGGAGGUGGGGUAGCCUAGUGGUUAGGGGAGGUGGGGUAGCCUAGUGGUUAGGGGAGGCGGGGUAGCCUAGUGGUUAGGGGAGGCGGGGUAGCCUAGUGGUUAGGGGAGGCGGGGUAGCCUAGUGGUUAGGGGAGGUGGGUAGCCUAGUGGUUAGGGGUGGCGGGGUAGCCUAGUGGUUAGGGGAGGAGGGGUAGCCUAGUGGUUAGAGGAGGAGGGGUAGCCUAGUGGUUAGAGGAGGUGGGUAGCCUAGUGGUUAGGGGAGGAGGGGUAGUCUAGUGGUUAGGGGAGGUGGGGUAGCCUAGUGGUUAGAGGGGGAGGCGGGGUAGCCUAGUGGUUAGGGGUGGCAGGGUAGCCUAGUGGUUAGGGGAGGAGGGGUAGUCUAGUGGUUAGGGGAGGUGGGGUAGCCUAGUGGUUAGAGGGGGGAGGCAGUUAGACUAGUGGUUAGAGGAAGCGGGGUAGCCUAGUGGUUAGGGGAGGCGGGGUAGCCUAGUGGUUAGGGGAGGCGGGGUAGCCUAGUGGUUAGGGGAGGUGGGGUAGCCUAGUGCUUAGGGGUGGCGGGGUAGCCUAGUGGUUAGGGGAGGUGGUGUAGCCUAGUGGUUAGGGGAGGUGGGGUAGCCUAGUGGUUAGGGGAGGCGGGGUAGCCUAGUGGUUAGGGGAGGCGGGGUAGCCUAGUGGUUAGGGGAGGUGGGGUAGCCUAGUGGUUAGGGGAGGUGGGUAGCCUAGUGGUUAGGGGUGGCGGGGUAGCCUAGUGGUUAGUGGAGGUGGGUAGCCUAGUGGUUAGGGGUGGCGGGGUAGCCUAGUGGUUAGGGGUGGCGGGGUAGCCUAGUGGUUAGAGGGGGGAGGCAGGUAGCCUAGUGGUUAGAGGGGGGAGGCAGGUAGCCUAGUGGUUAGAGGGGGAGGCAGGGUAGCCUAGUGGUUAGGGGCGGCGGGGUAAAAGCGUUGGACUAGUAACCGAUAGGUUGCUCGAUGGAAUCCCCGAGCUGACAAGGUAAAAAUCUGUCGUUCUGCUCCUGAACAAGGCAGUUAACCCACUGUUGCCCCCGUAGGCCGUCAUUGAAAAUAAGAAUUUGUUCUUAACUGACUUGCCUAGUAAAAUAAUUAUUUUUAAAUAAAUGUGUAUGCAGAAAUAAAAAGCACUGGGGAGCAGCAUUAUAACAUGUGCCAGCCAUCCAGUCCUUUAGUAUGUCUUAGCUCCAGUAUUCUCCAGUUUUAGGAUUAGCAUAUCAGUCUCCUUUUUCUUCAUGCGUUGAUGUGAGGUCUUCCUAGCUACAGAUCAGGAAGUAUUACAGUCUGGGACGGUAUUGUUAUCAUUGCCAAAUGCCUUGGGGAAGCUCUCUCUCUCUCUGUACUCCUGAACCCUGUACAUGACACCUGUGAUCAUUAUUACAACUUAAACCCUGUGAAUCACACAGAAAUGAUAACUCCAGUCAUACGGUAAUGCUGAUGACUCCGAUAUCCCCUUUAGAUGAAGACACACGGAUACACGCUACACACACACACACACACAGGAGAUGAACUCCCGGGGACCUCUCUCUGAUGAUGAAGGGAUGAUUCAACCAUCCCAGCAGCUCUCUCUUCACUUCACCGCUGCACACACACACUGCACACACACACACACACACCGCACACAUAUUGCACAGACACACACACUGCACACACGUUGCACACACACACACACUGCACACACAUUGCACACACACACACACACACACACACUGCAUACACACACACCACACACACUGCACACACAUACACACACACACACACACACACACUUCACAGACACACACACUACAUACAAACUACCUACACACACACUUCACACUACACACAACACUACACACAACACACU